This 253-nucleotide ribosomal RNA is filed under the name uncultured bacterium. Its description in RNAcentral is "partial 16S ribosomal RNA". It matches the Rfam family "Bacterial small subunit ribosomal RNA", at positions 524 to 776 of the family's 1533-position model. The record is from RNAcentral.
UACGUAGGGGGCAAGCGUUGUCCGGAUUUAUUGGGCGUAAAGAGCGUGUAGGCGGCUUUACAGGUCCGUUGUGAAAACUCGAGGCUCAACCUCGAGACGCCGGUGGAAACCGUAAGGCUAGAGUCCGGAAGAGGAGAGUGGAAUUCCUGGUGUAGCGGUGAAAUGCGCAGAUAUCAGGAGGAACACCUAUUGCGAAGGCAGCUCGCUGGGACGUUACUGACGCUGAGACGCGAAAGCGUGGGGAGCAAACAGG